RNAcentral lists this unclassified non-coding RNA (277 nucleotides) under Tetragenococcus halophilus. RNAcentral describes it as "16S-23S ribosomal RNA intergenic spacer 2". The record is from RNAcentral. Lineage: Bacteria; Bacillati; Bacillota; Bacilli; Lactobacillales; Enterococcaceae.
UAAGGAAACAUACGGAAGGUCGACACAUCGUUUGCGCUUUGUUCAGUUUUGAGGGUUUACUUUAAAACUUGGUUCUUUGAAAACUGGAUAGAAAAACAACAAUCAACACCAACCGAGAAUCCGCGUUGAACACGUUUUUUAUAGAAAAACAACAAUCAACACCAACCGAGAAUCCGCGUUGAACACGUUUUUUAACGAAGUUUACGCACAUGUUCGAAGGGCUUUGAUCGCUCAAAGCAAACACCUUCGAGAAACCCUUGACCGCAAGGUCAAGUCA